AUUGAACGCUGGCGGCAGGCCUAACACAUGCAAGUCGAACGAGUGGCGGACGGGUGAGUAAUGUCUGGGAAACUGCCUGAUGGAGGGGGAUAACUACUGGAAACGGUAGCUAAUACCGCAUACCAUCAGAUGUGCCCAGAUGGGAUUAGCUAGUUGGUUGGGUAAAGGCUCACCUAGGCGACGAUCCCUAGCUGGUCUGAGAGGAGGACGAGCCAUACUGGAACUGAUACACGGUCCAGACUCCGACGGGAGGCAGCAGUGGGGAAUAUUGCACAAUGGGCGCAAGCCUGCUGCAGCCAUGCCGCGUGUAUGAAGAAGGCCUUCGGGUUGUAAAGUACUUUCAGCGGGGAGGCGUUACCCGCAGAAGAAGCACCGGCUAACUCCGUGCCAGCAGCCGCGGUAAUAC
Molecule: ribosomal RNA, 406 nt
Filed under: uncultured bacterium
Lineage: Bacteria
Description: partial 16S ribosomal RNA
Rfam family: Bacterial small subunit ribosomal RNA
Source: RNAcentral